UACGUAGGGUGCAAGCGUUGUCCGGAAUUAUUGGGCGUAAAGAGCUCGUAGGCGGUUCGUCGCGUCGGCUGUGAAAACCCGGAGCUCAACUCCGGGCCUGCAGUCGAUACGGGCGGACUUGAGUGUUGCAGGGGAGACUGGAAUUCCUGGUGUAGCGGUGAAAUGCGCAGAUAUCAGGAGGAACACCGGUGGCGAAGGCGGGUCUCUGGGCAACAACUGACGCUGAGGAGCGAAAGCGUGGGGAGCGAACAGG
RNAcentral lists this ribosomal RNA (253 nucleotides) under uncultured bacterium. Its description in RNAcentral is "partial 16S ribosomal RNA". It matches the Rfam family "Bacterial small subunit ribosomal RNA", at positions 524 to 776 of the family's 1533-position model. The record is from RNAcentral.